RNAcentral lists this ribosomal RNA (406 nucleotides) under uncultured bacterium. RNAcentral describes it as "partial 16S ribosomal RNA". It matches the Rfam family "Bacterial small subunit ribosomal RNA", at positions 29 to 526 of the family's 1533-position model. The record is from RNAcentral.
ACGAACGCUGGCGGCUGCUUAACACAUGCAAGUCGAACGGAGUGGCGAACGGGUGAGUAACGCGUGAGCAACCUGCCUAUGACAGUGGGAUAGCCUCGGGAAACCGGGAUUAAUACCGCAUAGUCAUAGAUGGGCUCGCGUCUGAUUAGCUAGUUGGUGAGAGAACAGCUAAACAAGGCGACGAUCAGUAGCCGGUCUCAGAGGAUGAACUGCCACAUUGGAACUGAGACACGGUCCAAACUCCUACGGGAGGCAGCAGUGGUGAAUAUUGCACAAUGGGGGAAACCCUGAUGCAGCGACGCCGCGUGAACGAAGAAGGUAGUCGUAUCGUAAAGUUCUGUCCUAUGGGAAGCAGUACCAUAGAAGAAAGCUCCGGCUAAAUACGUGCCAGCAGCCGCGGUAAUUC